RNAcentral lists this ribosomal RNA (451 nucleotides) under marine bacterium B250-16. RNAcentral describes it as "SSU rRNA". It matches the Rfam family "Bacterial small subunit ribosomal RNA", at positions 8 to 503 of the family's 1533-position model. The record is from RNAcentral. Lineage: Bacteria; Pseudomonadati; Pseudomonadota; Alphaproteobacteria.
AGAGUUUGAUCAUGGCUCAGAGACGAACGCUGGCGGCAUGCCUAACACAUGCAAGUCGUACGCCCUAUUUUAGAGGGAGUGGCGCACGGGUGCGUAACGCGUGGGAACCUGCCUUCAGGUUCGGAAUAACUCAGAGCAAUUUGAGCUAAUACCGGAUAAUGUCUUCGGACCAAAGAUUUAUCGCCUUUGGAUGGGCCCGCGUAGGAUUAGAUAGUUGGGGGGGUAACGGCUUACCAAGUCGACGAUCCUUAGNUGGUCUGAGAGGAUGAUCAGCCACACUGGGACUGAGACACGGCCCAGACUCCUACGGGAGGCAGCAGUGGGGAAUAUUGGACAAUGGGCGUAAGCCUGAUCCAGCAAUGCCGCGUGAGUGAUGAAGGCCUUAGGGUUGUUAAGCUCUUUUACCAGGGAUGAUAAUGACAGUACCUGGAGAAUAAGUUCCGGCUAAUUC